GCCUGGGUGGCUCAGUUGGUUAAGCGGCCGACUUCAGCUCGGGGCACGGUCUCGAGGUCUCGCGAUCUCGUGAGUUCGAGCCCCGCCUCGGGCU
Molecule: transfer RNA, 94 nt
Filed under: Felis catus (domestic cat)
Lineage: Eukaryota; Metazoa; Chordata; Mammalia; Carnivora; Felidae
Rfam family: tRNA
About the family: Transfer RNA (tRNA) molecules are approximately 80 nucleotides in length.
Source: Rfam by way of RNAcentral